RNAcentral lists this unclassified non-coding RNA (937 nucleotides) under Hevea brasiliensis (rubber tree). The record is from RNAcentral. Lineage: Eukaryota; Viridiplantae; Streptophyta; Magnoliopsida; Malpighiales; Euphorbiaceae.
UUAUAGACAAACAUGCGUUGAAAAGUAGAAUAUUACAACCUUCACAUCUAAUAACAUAAAAUGCGUAUAGACAGACAACAGCAUCCCAUAGUUUAAUGGUGUUACAAGCACCCUCAAACAGACAACUCCGAUCAUGGGCUUCAAACUAGCAUAUCCCAUCACACUUUCAUAAAAACUAGCAGCAAUUAAGUCAUGUANUCAAGCAGAACCUAACUAAGUAAUCCAAAAGGAUGCAGCCGCACAAAAUCGAACCAUACAGUUAUCCCCGCAACUUUAUAAUAAAAGCAUACUCUUGAAUGAUGCUCUCUAUUCCAGUCAUAAAUGCUUGUAGACAUCUUAAGUAAGUAUUCAACUAAAGAAUUCAUUCAACACAGUUAUACAUACUUGAAUAGAUAUAUAAAUGCCCAUAUGCCAUUUCCCUUAGCUCUUUCACACCCACUACCUCUAUAACAAACUUAUCCAUAUAAGACCAAAAUAUGCCCACAAACAAAUCUAAGCAAUUCACAUCCGAAAAUUACACUUGGACCAACAGAAGGGUGUGUGAUCUCAUCCAUCACCUGAAACUCCGCUUAUUUGCAGACCUUCGUCUACUCUGAGUUGAGUAACGAGGUUCUGAUUGGGAACCAUUCUCUCCAAAUCCUCUAAUUUCCAUUUUACCCUCCAUCCCAAAUGGCUGCCUUCUCCUAUAAGGCUCAGACUUGGGAGAAUCUAACCUCUUUUUUUUGUUCACAUCAUACAUUAAUGGUUCAAUUCCCUGCAAAUCAGGCGCUGGAACAAAGCCAAUUGGCCGUUUCGCUUCAUCCAUUUUCCUAAAUGUAAUAGAUAUCCUCUUUGUUGGAACUGAAGGCACACAGUGCUUAGAAACAUCAGCUGAAUUUCCAUUCAAUACAAGAACAGAUCCCACUGGCAGAGGGAUUGCAAUUGAUCCAGUAAACUC